AGGGUCCACGGAGGAUGCCUUGGAGCUGUCAGGCGAAGAAGGACGUGAUUAGCUGCGAAAAGCUAGGGGGAGGAGCCAAUAUCCAACGAUCCCUAGAUAUCCGAAUGGGGUAACCCACUAGUAUAGAUUACUAGUAUCCAUACACGAACACAUACUGUAUGGAAGGCACACGCAGGGAACUGAACCAUCUAAGUACCUGUAGGAAAAGACAUCAAAAGAGAUUCCCUUAGUAGCGGCGAGCGAACGGGGAAGAGCCUAAACUUAUUGCGUGUAAGCGUCGAUGCGUUGCGUAAUGAGGGUUGCAAGAAUAGUUUAGAGGAGUAUCGACACUCUUCGCACAGUCAAAAUGGUCUAUUGAGUAGAAUAAUCUGGGAAGGUUAGUCAAAGAGAGUGAAAGCCUCGUAUACGAAGGUAGACCACUGUGUGAAAUUAUUUCUUAAGUACGGCGGGACACGAGAAAUCCUGUUGGAAUCUGGGGGGACCACCCUCCAAGGCUAAAUACUCGACAGCUACCGAUAGCGCAUAGUACCGUGAGGGAAAGGUGAAAAGAACCCCGGGAGGGGAGUGAAAGAGAACCUGAAACCGUGGACUUACAAGCGGUCAAAGCCUGAAUUUAUUUGGGUGAUGGCGUGCCUUUUGUAGAAUGAGCCUGCGAGUUACCGUACGUAGCAAGGUAAGGGAUAGAAGUCCCGGAGCCGUAGGGAAACCGAGUCUGAAUAGGGCGAUUAGUUGCGUGUGGUAGACCCGAAGCCAAGUGAUCUAUCCAUGUCCAGGUUGAAACUUGAGUAAAAUCAAGUGGAGGACCGAACCUAAAUCCGCUGAAAAGGGUUGGGAUGAGAUGUGGAUCGGAGUGAAAGGCUAAACAAACUUGGAGAUAGCUGGCACUCCCCGAAAUAGCUUUAGGGCUAGCCUCGUGGUGAUUGUUGCGGAGGUAGAGCACUGAAUGGAUGAGGGCCCUUCACCGGGUACCAAGUUCAAUCAAACUCCGAAUGCCGUAACACAAUACACGGGAGUCAGACUGCGGCUGAUAAGGGCCGUGGUCAAAAGGGAAACAGCCCAGACCGUCGCUAAGGUCCCCAAGAUACGCCAAGUGGGAAAGGAAGUUCGAUUGCGAAGACAGCCAGGAGGUUGGCUUAGAAGCAGCCACUCCUUAAAAGAGUGCGUAAUAGCUCACUGGUCGAGUAGUCGAGCGCCGAUAAUGUAACGGGGCUAAGCGUAUCACCGAAGCCACGGCACAGUAUUUGAUACUGUGGGUAGGGGAGCAUUCCGUAUACGGAUGAAGGUGUGGCGGGAGCAUGCUGGACGGCACGGAAGAGAGAAUGCAGGCAUGAGUAACGAAAAGACGGGUGAGAUCCCCGUCCGCCGAAAGCCUAAGGUUUCCAGGGUAAAGGUAAUCUUCCCAAGGGUUAGUCGGCCCCUAAGGCGAGGCUGAAAAGCGUAGUCGAUGGGAAACUGGUUAAUAUUCCAGUACCUCUCUGUGUUUCGAUGGAACGAAGCAUAGGGCGAAGCGCGGCCGGGCGACGGUAGUCCCGGUCUAAGUAGUAAGUUUAUGAUUACUCUAGGCAAAUCCGGAGUAAGAGACGAGCUGCGAAUGCGAGCGAUGCUACGGCAAAGCGAAGCGCGUGGAGUCGUCGUGCCAAGAAAUAGUUUCUAAGGUAUGACACAGAGGGACCGUACCGCAAACCGACACAGGUAGGCGAGCUGAAUAUGCUCAGGCGCACGGAAGAAUUCGCGUUAAGGAACUCGGCAAAAUACAUACGUAACUUCGGGAGAAGUAUGGCCACUGGGGGAGCAAUUUCUUGGUGGUUGCAGAGAAUAGGCCCAAUCGACUGUUUACCAAAACACAGGUCUAUGCAAACCAGUGAUGGGAAGUAUAUGGACUGACACCUGCCCGGUGCUGGAAGGUUAAGAGGAGUUGUUAGCGCAAGCGAAGCAGUGAAUUGAAGCCCCAGUAAACGGCGGCCGUAACUAUAACGGUCCUAAGGUAGCGAAAUUCCUUGUCGGGUAAGUUCCGACCCGCACGAAUGGUGUAACGAAUUGGGCGCUGUCUCAACGCGAAAUCCGGUGAAAUUGAAGUACCGGUGAAGAUGCCGGUUACUUGUGGUUAGACGGAAAGACCCCGUGAACCUUUACUUUAGCUUAGCAGUGAAACUUGGAUAAGGAUGUGUAGGAUAGGUGGGAAGCGUUGAAGCGUGGCCGUUAGGUUGCGUGGAGCUGUUGGUGAAAUACCACCCUUUCUUGUUCAAUUUUCUAACAGUGCCCAUGAAGCUGGGUAUUGGACAUUGCUUGGUGGGAAGUUUGACUGGGGCGGUCGCCUCCUAAAGAGUAACGGAGGCGCGCGAUGGUCACCUUAAGACGGUUGGGAAUCGUCUGUCAAGUGUAAAGGCACAAGGUGGCUUGACUGCAAGACUUACAAGUCGAGCAGGUACGAAAGUAGGUCUUAGUGAUCUGGCGGUAGCGAGUGGAAGCGCCGUCACUUAACGGAUAAAAGGUACUCCGGGGAUAACAGGCUGAUUUUGCCCAAGAGUUCAUAUCGACGGCAAAGUUUGGCACCUCGAUGUCGGCUCAUCGCAUCCUGGGGCUGGAGCAGGUCCCAAGGGUUUGGCUGUUCGCCAAUUAAAGCGGUACGCGAGCUGGGUUCAGAACGUCGUGAGACAGUUCGGUCCCUAUCUGCCACAAGCGUUGGAUGUUUGAGGGGUUCUGCUUCUAGUACGAGAGGACCGAUGUGGACAAACCUCUGGUCUACCAGUUGUCGUGCCAACGGCAUUCGCUGGGUAGCUACGUUUGGAAAGGAUAACCGCUGAAAGCAUCUAAGUGGGAAACCUACCUCAAGAUGAGACAUCCCUAGCACUUUAAGUGCUCUAAAGGAACCAGGGACAAUACCUGGUCGAUAGGCUGGAGGUCUAAGCAUGGUAACAUGUUAAGCCGACCAGUACUAAUCAGCCGUGAGGCUUGACC
This 2958-nucleotide ribosomal RNA is filed under the name bioreactor metagenome. Its description in RNAcentral is "bacterial LSU rRNA". It matches the Rfam family "Bacterial large subunit ribosomal RNA". The record is from RNAcentral.